This 1008-nucleotide long non-coding RNA is filed under the name Pongo abelii (Sumatran orangutan). Its description in RNAcentral is "lincRNA". Lineage: Eukaryota; Metazoa; Chordata; Mammalia; Primates; Hominidae. The record is from RNAcentral.
AAAGUCUUUUCUGUUACGAAUUCCCUCUGUCCAACGAUUCAGGUCCAGUCCCCUCAACUUGGUAGGCUCUGCCUGUUCCACGUCUAUGCAUUCCCCAUCUAUCUAAUGUAUAUUCAGACACAAAUGUAUAUACAUGAGAUCAAGUCAUAGAUAUUUUGAAGAUUUGCUUUCAUUCAUUUUUAUCUCAGUCAUAACAUUAAAUCUUGGCUGGGUGCAGUGGCUCACGCCUGUAAUCCCAACUCUUAGGGAGGCAGAGGCAGGAGGAUAGCUUGAGCCCAGGAGUUUGAGACCUGGCUGGGCAAUAUAGUGAAACCCUGAUCUCCACAAAAAGGAAAAAAAAAAGACAAAAAAAAAAAAAAAACCCACAAAUGUAAAAAAAAAAAAGUAUAUACACUUAAAUUAUGCUUCAUAAUGCAUGUUUUAGUCUUUCAUUUUUCCUAGAAAUUAUUUAUGUACCCAGCAGAUAUCCAUCAAUUAAAUGAGUACAAGGUUUUGAGUUACCUAAAGAUCUUUGAAAUUAUUCUAAAGUAGACAUACCACGAAAGAUAACUUUUUUUUUUUGAGAUGGAGUUUCGCUGUGUCGCCCAGGCUGGAGUGCAGAGGUGCCAUCUCCGCUCACUGCAACCCCCGCCUCCCUGGUUCAAGCGACUCUCCUGUCUCGGCCUCCUGAGUAGGUGGGACUACAGGCCCACACCACCACGCCCAGCUAAUUUUUGUAUUUUUAGUAAAAACAGGGUCUCACCAUAUCGGUCAUGCUGGUCUCAAACUGCUGACCUCAGGUGAUCCACCUGCCUCAGCCUCCCACAGUGCUGGGAUUACAGGUGUGAGUCACCUCACCCAGCCAAAAGAUAAUUUUUGAAAUAAAAUUCAUUAGCGGAAUAAUUCAAUUUUGUUAAACACAGAUUGAAAUUUACAUAUUUAAACAUUAUGUAAAAGCAACGCUAGCUUAUUUUAUCAGUAAAUAUGUAUAAGUUUCGGAAAAUCAUAUACAAGCAGAAUAAAAACGUA